UUUGAUGGCGACCGGCGCACGGGUGAGUAACACGUAUCCAACCUGCCGAUGACUCGGGGAUAGCCUUUCGAAAGAAAGAUUAAUACCCGAUGGCAUAGUUCUUUCGCAUGGUAGAACUAUUAAAGAAUUUCGGUCAUCGAUGGGGAUGCGUUCCAUUAGCUUGUUGGCGGGGUAACGGCCCACCAAGGCAUCGAUGGAUAGGGGUUCUGAGAGGAAGGUCCCCCACAUUGGAACUGAGACACGGUCCAAACCCCUACGGGAGGCAGCAG
This 269-nucleotide ribosomal RNA is filed under the name uncultured bacterium. Its description in RNAcentral is "partial 16S ribosomal RNA". It matches the Rfam family "Bacterial small subunit ribosomal RNA", at positions 84 to 354 of the family's 1533-position model. The record is from RNAcentral.